RNAcentral lists this ribosomal RNA (414 nucleotides) under uncultured microorganism. RNAcentral's name for it is "bacterial SSU rRNA". It matches the Rfam family "Archaeal small subunit ribosomal RNA", at positions 459 to 872 of the family's 1478-position model. The record is from RNAcentral.
CAGCAGCCGCGGUAAUACCGGCGGCCCGAGUGGCGGUCACUAUUAUUGGGCUUAAAGCGUCCGUAGCCGGGUUGGGAAGUCCUCCGGGAAAUCUGGCCGCUUAACGGUCAGAAUGCCGGAGGAUACUCCCAGCCUAGGGAGCGGGAGAGGCCGGGGGUAUUCCCGGAGGAGGGGUGAAAUCCUAUAAUCCCGGGAGGACCACCUGUGGCGAAGGCGCUCGGCUGGAACGCGUCCGACGGUGAGGGACGAAGGCCAGGGGAGCAAACCGGAUUAGAUGCCCGGGUAGUCCUGGCUGUAAACGAUGCGGACUUUGUGUCGGACAAGCUAUGAGCUUGUCCGGUGCCGGAGGGAAACCGUUAAGUCCGCCGCCUGGGGAGUACGGCCGCAAGGCUGAAACUUAAAGGAAUUGGCGGG